This is an RNA transcript of Cucumis melo (muskmelon), 1972 nucleotides long. It is a transcript of the gene named AP2-like ethylene-responsive transcription factor At2g41710, with no coding region annotated. The transcript has 10 exons. The record is from RefSeq and is a predicted model, not a curated record. NCBI's taxonomy places the organism in Eukaryota, Viridiplantae, Streptophyta, Magnoliopsida, Cucurbitales, Cucurbitaceae.
CUUCUCUCUCCCCGGACUGUAGUUUUGCCCCUUCCGUGGUCAGUCAAAAUCCACCGAAUUUCAAGCUCUUUUUUCCUCACUCACACUCUCACUGAAGCUCUCUCUCUCUCUCUCUCUCUCUCCUCGUUUCGCUGAGAUUCUCCUUCCUAGGGUUUAGGUCUUGUUUGUUGUUCCAUGGCUUCUUCGUCUUCUGAUCCUGGCUUCAAACACGAACCCGGUGCCUGUAGCACUGCUGCUGCUGGAAGAGGGACGGCGGAAUCUUCCGAGGUUGUUAUGGCAAAUGAUCAGCUUUUACUGUAUAGAGGGUUGAAGAAAGCGAAGAAAGAGAGAGGUUGUACUGCCAAAGAACGCAUUAGUAAAAUGCCUCCGUGUGCUGCUGGAAAAAGAAGCUCCAUAUACCGCGGAGUCACUAGGCAUAGAUGGACUGGUCGUUAUGAAGCUCAUCUUUGGGAUAAAAGUACUUGGAACCAGAACCAGAACAAGAAGGGAAAGCAAGUGUAUCUGGGAGCAUAUGAUGAAGAAGAGGCUGCUGCUAGGGCUUACGAUUUGGCUGCCUUAAAAUAUUGGGGUCCUGGGACUCUUAUUAAUUUUCCAGUGACUGAUUAUACAAGGGACCUCGAAGAAAUGCAGAAUGUUUCAAGAGAGGAAUACCUUGCAUCUCUAAGAAGAAAGAGCAGUGGAUUCUCCAGGGGAAUAUCCAAAUAUCGAAGUCUCUCAAGUCGAUGGGAUCCUUCAUUUGGUCGCAUGCCAGGCCCUGAUUAUGUUAGCAGCAUAAAUUAUGGUGCUGGAGACGAUCAAGCAACUGAAAGUGAAUUCGUCCACAACUUCUGCAUUGAAAGGAAGAUUGACUUAACAAGUCACAUUAAGUGGUGGGGGCCGAACAAAACUCGAACAGCCAGUGCAGGCUCAAAGUCAUCAGAAGAAGACAAAAAUAGUUGUGCUGGAGAAGUUGGCAGUGAACUCAAAGCUCUGGGACAGACCACCCGUCCUACAGAGCCAUAUGAGAUGCCCUGUUUGGGUACUUCUGGAGUAAAGAAGCCUGCUUCCAAGAUCUCUGCUUUAAGCAUUUUGUCACGGUCAGCAGCCUACAAGAGUUUGCAGGAGAAAGCUUUGAAAUUACAGGAAACUAACAACGAGAAUGAUGAGAACGAAAAUAAAAACACUGUUAACAAGAUAGAUCAUGGGAAAGUGGUUGAAACACCUACUACAAGUCAUGGUGGUGAUCCCAGUGAGAGAUAUGGGGUUACUUUCGGAACAAGUGGUGGAUUGCCACUUCAGAGAAAUAUGUUCCCCUUGACUCCAUUCUUAACAGCACCUCUUCUUAGCAGUUACAACACCGUUGAUCCUUUGGGAGAUCCUAUUCAUUGGACAUCUCUCGCUUCUGUUCUUCCUACCGGACUUUCUCGCACAGCUGAGGUUAGUUUUCAAAGGACAUUCCAGUUUCUUUCAUAGUAAAUGUUAAUGUUCAGUAUGCAUUGACCUGAACUAAAGUAGCCCUAGCGGGAGAAGAUGAAGAUAUACUCUUGGUUACGAAAACUGAAACCUCUUCAACUUACACUUUGUUUCGGGCUGAGGAAUAAAGUUCAAGGAAUUUCUCGCACACCCUACAAUCACUUUUGAGCUGAACUCAGUUAGACUGGGUUUCUGUGCUGAUGUUGCAGCAUCUAUACAUGUGAACAAGCUUUAAGGAAUAAAGCUUUACUUAAAUCACAUUAUGCUCAAGAACACAUUACACAUUGUACAUACCUGAGGCCUCUUCGAUAUUUCUAAAAUGCAAGAGGUGAUGAAUAUGGUCACGAAAGGAAGCACAUACAGUUGUAGAAGAAAGGACAACAUCAAGUCUUAGAAUAUCACACGUCUGUUUUAUAUCAUGCACAUGUUAUCUAGUCAUAUAUAAAUUUGAUUUUGUUCUUGAAUAUGUAUUACUUGGUUAUAUUUAUAUCCGGUUAUCAAUUUCAAUGUUUUACUCCCA